This 1858-nucleotide non-coding RNA is filed under the name Solanum habrochaites. RNAcentral describes it as "bacterial SSU rRNA". It matches the Rfam family "Bacterial small subunit ribosomal RNA". The record is from RNAcentral. Lineage: Eukaryota; Viridiplantae; Streptophyta; Magnoliopsida; Solanales; Solanaceae.
AUAGUUUGAUCCUGGCUCAGAAGGAACGCUAGCUAUAUACUUAAAACUUGAAGUAGAAAGUUGUUUUUAUAUAAGAGCUGGGAAGAAGGAAAAGAGGUUCCUAGAUAAAGGUAGCUUGUAUCACCCAGGAGGUGAGAAGAGUUGAGAACAAAGUGGCGAACGGGUGCGUAACGCGUGGGAAUCUACCAAAUAGUUCGCGCUAAAUCCUGCAGAAAGCUAAAAAGCAUUUUUUGAUGAGCCUGCAAAGUAUUAGGUAGUUGGUUAGGUAAACGCUGACAGACAAUUAUGCUUAGCUGGUCUUUUCAGAUGAUCAACCACACUGGGAGUGAGACACGGCCUCGACUCCCACCGGGGGCAGUAGUGGGCAAGUUUAGACAAUGGUGAAAGCCCAAUCCAGCUAAAUCGUGUGAAUGAAGAAGGGUAAUGCCGCUUUAAAAGCUUUUUCAUCGAGUACACAAUUAUGAUAGGACUCGAGGAAGAAGCCCCAGCUAACUCUGUGCCAGCAGCCACGAUAAUACGGGGGGGGCAAGUGUUCUUCGGAAUGACUGGGCGUAAAGGGCACGUAGGCGGUGAAUCGGGUUGAAAGUGAAAGCCGCCAAAAACUGGCGGAAUGCUCUCAAAACCAAUUCAUUUGAGUGAGACAGUGAAGAGUAGAAUUUUGUGUGAAGUGGUGAAAUCCGGAGAUCUACGAAGCAACGCCAAAAGAAAAGGUAGCUCUAUGGGUCCCUACAGACGCUGAGGUGUGAAAGUAUAGGGAGCGAACGAGGUUAGAUACCCUGGUAGUCCAUGCGCUAAACGAUAAGUGUUUACCCUUGGUCUACGUGGAUCAGGGGCCUACAUAACACGUGAAACACUCUGUCUAGAUAGAACGAUUGCAAGAAACUUAAAGAAAGUGGUUGAGUAUGUUGUUCAAUUCAAUACAACGCGCAAAACCUUACCAUCCCUUGAGAUAUGAACAGUAAAAGUUUUCCUUAACGGGAUGGUACUUACUUUCAUACAGGUGCUGCAUGGCUGUCGUCAGCUCGUGUCGUGAGAUGUUUGGUCAAGUCCUAUAACAAGUGAAAAUCUCGUGUUGUGUUUUUGAGACAUGCACCUAAGGAUAAUGUCUUUGCAACCAAUUGAGUGCGAGCACCUAGCUUUGCUGUCUGUAAGAACGUAGUCGGCGCCUUCCGAAGCACUUCCUAUUUCUAGUUAGCGUUGUUUUUUUAUUAUAGCUAGCGCAUUGACUAAUAAGAUAGAAAAGUCCUUUCUUUCUUUUUUUAAUAAAUUCAAGUUUUUGGUCUUAUCUUGCAGGUGACGACGACGUCAACUUUUACAGAAGAGAAAGACUCGACAUUCAGGCGACCCACUCGAUGGUGUGGUACGUACUGGGUUUAGUACGCCCCGCCCAUACAAACGACUCCAAAAUAAACAAAAAGGUGUGUGCCGCACUCCGAAAUACUUCCAGUUAUAUACUAUAGGAAAGUGGGGAUGACGUUAAGUGCGCAUGGCCCUUAUGGGUUGGUCCACACACGUGCUACAAUGGCAAUUACAAUGGGAAACAAGAAUGUAAGGCGGAUAGAUUCCGGAAAGAUUUCCACACUUUGGAUUGACCUCAGAAACUCGGGAACAUGAAGUUGGAAUCGCUAGUAAUCGCGGAUCAGUAUGUUGCAAUGAAUAUAUACCCAAACCCUGUACACAUUGCUCGUCACACUCUGGGACUUUUUUUCGCCCGAGGCAUAGGACCAAUGAUCAGCCAUGAAUUAUGUGGCACACUAGUGACACAAAGGCCUUUGGUGAUAUUAUUGGCACAUACAAAGGUGAAGUCUUCGAUUGAGGUGAAGUGAUAAGAAGGUAGUCGUAGGGGAACCUCUGGCUG